This 393-nucleotide ribosomal RNA is filed under the name uncultured bacterium. RNAcentral describes it as "partial 16S ribosomal RNA". It matches the Rfam family "Bacterial small subunit ribosomal RNA", at positions 523 to 918 of the family's 1533-position model. The record is from RNAcentral.
AUACGGAGGAUGCAAGCGUUAUCCGGAUUUAUUGGGUUUAAAGGGUGCGUAGGCGGUUUGCUAAGCGGGAGGUGAAAUGCCGGCGCUCAACGUCGGAAGUGCCUCCCGAACUGGUGGACUUGAAUGACUCUGCCGUGGGAGGAAUGUGUAGUGUAGCGGUGAAAUGCUUAGAGAUUACACAGAACAUCGAUUGCGAAGGCAUCUCACGAAGGGUUGAUUGACGCUGAGGCACGAAAGCGUGGGGAUCAAACAGGAUUAGAUACCCUGGUAGUCCACGCAGUAAACGAUGAUGGCUAACCGCUGGGCUUAUCAGUUCAGUGGCCAAGCGAAAGCGAUAAGCCAUCCACCUGGGGAGUACGACCGCAAGGUUGAAACUCAAAUGAAUUGACGGGG